Molecule: ribosomal RNA, 266 nt
Filed under: uncultured archaeon
Lineage: Archaea
Description: partial 16S ribosomal RNA
Rfam family: Archaeal small subunit ribosomal RNA
Source: RNAcentral
AGUCACUGACAUUAGAUACCCGCGUAGUCCAGGGUGUAAACGCUGCAGACUUGGUGUUGGAGGCCCUUUGGGGGCAUUCAGUGCCGGAGAGAAGUUGUUAAGUCUGCUACUUGGGGAGUACGUCCGCAAGGAUGAGACUUAAAGGAAUUGGCGGGGGAGCACCGCAACGGGGGGAGCGUGCGGUUUAAUUUGGAUUCAACACCGUAAAACUCACCAGGGAAGACUGUUACAUGAAAGCCGAGAUGAAGACUCUGCUAGAUUUUCAG